AGAGAUCCUUCCUCUUGGAGCCCUUCCACGAGCCCAGGACAUGGUUACUUAGGCUCCUGGCCAACUGCAAACCACCAGUACUGAAGAAAAGCUGCCUAUGAGUUAUCAGUUAACUCAGACUUACCUUGUACCAACCAAGACACUCAGAUCCCAAUUUGAGGUUCACUUCCUGAUGGCUCAGAGCAUGCGAUGAUGAGUUUCUCAUUCAGCUGAAAGAAGAAUACACAGCAUUUGUACCUUCAACAGUCUAAUGAAUGUACUUCUGGUUCUUGGGAUGUAGAAAAGCUACAGAGCUUGUGUGGUUGUACUGCAAGAAAACUCAGUCUCUGAAAGGUCAGAGGGUACUUCAAGUACUCAUUGACGUGGCUUCCACUCCUAGUUCUCACUGUAAGAGAUAAAAUUUAAAAAAAAAAAAACCAAAAACAUGGGUGCAGUUUAAUCACAGAGUCUGUGAUCCACACUGAGGGCUUGCAGUAGUGAAGAGUGAGAGGAAAAGAUGUGAACAUCUCCCAGGCAUGUGCUCAAAAGGAUCAGCCCAGCAACGAAAGCAGGACAGCCUUGUACCCAGCUUCAUCUCCUCCCUGGGAUCUGCCUCUCUGACACAGUGUGAGAGGAAAUGUCUGCCACAUUCUAUCACAUAAGUUCCACAGAGCAGUGCAGCAGCUCGCUGGGCACUCACACAGUGGUUUGAUGUAGCUACUCAAGCAGUGUUACUAGAAAGAAACUCUGCAUAACUGUCCUGUAAAAUAACUGCAGUCUGCAUCUCAGGAAGUUGGGAGAUAUAAGGCAAGCUUCUCUGGCAAGGAUUUGAGAAAGAGAGAAUGACAUUGCAUUAGUAUGUGACUAACCUAAUCGUUUACUGCCAACAAUAUACAGCCUUCCCAUCUGCAGAAGCUACUGAUUCUAUAAUGUCACCCACGCAAGCACUUUGCAUUUCUAUCUAUAUAGUGUACGUAUAUAGUUACAUAUCUCAGACUACACUAUUUUUGACAGAGAACAUGUCUGUGUAUUUUGGACUAUAAACCUGAAAAUUAUCUAUUUUUGGUUUUAGUAAUCUAGAAGUGAGGUCUAUAGCUAGACAUAAACUCUACGAGAUGCUGCUUAUCUCACUUGAACAACACUGUUCAUCCCAGUUAGAUAAUCUUCUCAAAACAGAAACACUACUGUGCUUUGAGGCAAAACUUCAGAGCCAGAAUUCUGAAUGAAGCAUGUGUGUGUAUAUAUAUAUAUAUAUAUAUAUACACACGCACACGUCAUUUGAGAUGUGUGUAUAUAUAUAUAUAUAUACAUGUAGUUAUACAUGAUCAGUUUAUUAUACUUCUUUUUUUUCCUUGUCACUGAUUCAUUCCUCCAUCUUCACUGACAUGAGACAGAAGUGCUCUGAUAGAGCAAACCAGAGAUGGGACAGUCUUCUUUAAUACACCUGUCCCAAUUCAAUCCUUCCCUCAGGAAGCCACUUACAAUCAUUUAUAUGAUGACAAAUGUUGCUUAGCAGAUGAACAAUGUAAGUAGUUUGAUCCAGAUUGAAUAACAUCUUAUUCUAACUGAAACUACUUUUUUUCCCAAUGACUAAUCAAAGAUGUUCUCCAAGAAAGACAGAAAACACUGAGUAAUCUUACACUGUCACUAAGUUUCACAAAAAUACUUCAAAUUAAUGGGGUACUUUUUCACUGAUUUGGAUGGAAAGACAGUGUCUCAUUUGAAACUAGAAUUUAAGAGCAAGUGCUUUUGCUGAAAUGCUUGUUUGGAAACGUAAAACUGAUUGCAUAAAAGCAGCUUAACAUCGAGAAAUAGAGUGAAGUUAGAAAAAUAGCUGAGAGUCAACUUUGUGGCUUUCAUAGAAUAAAAUUCCAAAGAAAAAGACAAAUAUCUUAUCUGAAAAGAUGAAAACCAAAAUAAAAAUGUUUGCAAAUAUGCAUUGCUCUGGCAUUAUUGUUGGACAUUAAUAUCACGGAGACAGCAAUAUUCAGUGACUGCAGCACCACACUAAUUCUCAGUUUUAUUCCUCAUUACUGGAUGAUCUUGAAAUAUUUGCCUCAUCUGUCUCUGCCUUAUGUAUUCUGUUUGCAAAACGAGUUGUAAUAUUAACCUUUUUCAUAAACCACUUUGAGAU
Long non-coding RNA from Gallus gallus (chicken), 2113 nucleotides. The record is from Ensembl. Lineage: Eukaryota; Metazoa; Chordata; Aves; Galliformes; Phasianidae.